UUGGCUAGACAGACAAAAUUAGCCUUUCUUUCUUUACUCUAUUUCCGUUGCACUGCAAUGAGUAAAAAGGGGCAGCAGUAAUAUGCCAAUUUUGGCCUGGGCCUAAUCCAAAAAUAAACCAAAUAAAAACUCUAAAAAAUAAAAGUCCAAAUAACAAAUAAAAUAGCAGCCCAAUCAAAAUCCCAAUACCAGGCCCAAACUAUAAACCCCAAAUAGCCCAACCCAAAUCACUAACCCUAGCCCAAAACAAAAGAAAAACAGAAAACCCUAGCCUACGCUCAGCCGCCGCACGCCCCAACGGCAGCCUCCGCAUGCGCCGCCUUCCCCAC
RNAcentral lists this long non-coding RNA (329 nucleotides) under Gossypium raimondii (Peruvian cotton). RNAcentral describes it as "long non-coding RNA (GRAI_LNC008576)". The record is from RNAcentral. Lineage: Eukaryota; Viridiplantae; Streptophyta; Magnoliopsida; Malvales; Malvaceae.